This 248-nucleotide ribosomal RNA is filed under the name uncultured bacterium. RNAcentral describes it as "partial 16S ribosomal RNA". It matches the Rfam family "Bacterial small subunit ribosomal RNA", at positions 524 to 776 of the family's 1533-position model. The record is from RNAcentral.
UACGGAGGAUCCAAGCGUUAUCCGGAAUCAUUGGGUUUAAAGGUCCGUAGGCGGCCCAGUAAGUCAGUGGUGAAAUCUCCCGGCUCAACCGGGAAAUGGCCAUUGAUACUGCUGGGCUUGAAUACCAGGAAGUAACUAGAAUAUGUAGUGUAGCGUGAAAUGCUAGAUAUUACAUGGAAUACCAAUUGCGAAGGCAGGUUACUACUGGUGAUUGACGCUGAUGGACGAAAGCGUGGGUAGCGAACAGG